This 489-nucleotide ribosomal RNA is filed under the name uncultured bacterium. Its description in RNAcentral is "partial 16S ribosomal RNA". It matches the Rfam family "Bacterial small subunit ribosomal RNA", at positions 29 to 506 of the family's 1533-position model. The record is from RNAcentral.
AUUGAACGCUGGCGGCAGGCCUAACACAUGCAAGUCGAAUGGUAACACGAAACGGCUUGCUGUUUCGCUGACGCGUGGCGGGCGGGUGAGUGAUGUAUGGGAGACUGCCUGAUGGCGGGGGAUAACUAGUGGAAACGGUAACUAAUACAGCAUAACGUCGCAACAGCAAAGAGGAGGACCUUCGGGCACCUUGCGAUCAGAUGUGCCCAGAUGGGAUUAGCUGGUAGGUGGGGUAACGCCUCACCCAGACGACGCUCGCCGGCUGGGUUCGGAGGAGAACAGGCAAACUGGAACUGGAGAAAGGGUCCAGAUCCUUACGGGAGGCAGCAGUGGGGAAAAUUGCACAAUGGGGGAAAGCCUGAUGCAGCAAUGCGGGGGGGAUGAAGAAGCCCUUCGGGUGGUAAAGUACUUUCUGCGGGGAGAAAGGGAGUAAGGUUAAUCCCCUCGCUCAUUGAGGUUACCCGCAGAAGAAGCACCGGCUAACUCCUU